Gadus macrocephalus (Pacific cod) is the source of this 368-nucleotide long non-coding RNA. RefSeq lists it as uncharacterized. The record is from RefSeq and is a predicted model, not a curated record. Lineage: Eukaryota; Metazoa; Chordata; Actinopteri; Gadiformes; Gadidae. The transcript is spliced from 3 exons.
GCUCUAGGCCCCGGGGACCCCCCUCCUCCUUGGUCUCUGGGUUCACGUCAUUGGGGAAUCCUUGGUGGAGGAGAAGACUUCAAUCAACAUAGUGCAUUGAUUCAUCCGUAGGAACCAAUCCAAGCCGAUAGUGAUAACAAGAAGACGGAAAUGUGAUUCGUCAAUCGUGCCCAUGGACCGAGCAUGGACCUGUGCCGUCUUGCAUUGAUGCCAAGUUGGAUUUUGAGUUCUGGAGGGCGUACAGGGAGCUGUUGUGAAGGCACAGCGGGUCAGGGGUCACGGGCUGGUUGAUGGUCUUCUGGAAGGCCUCCUGCUGGAGCUGCAUGAGGAUGCGGUUCGCCUGCUGCCGCUCAGCUUCUCGUUCCUCC